GUCCAUGCUCAGAUUAUAGAGGACUGAUAUUGCCGCUUCAACAGCCCUCUCACUUCCUCCUUCUAUUAGCUCCACCAAUGGAAAUAUUCCCCCGGCAGAAGGAAGAAACGGCUCGAGUAGCAUCUACCACCCCCUCUGAAAUUAUUCUGUUGAGUUCUACUACUGCAGCUUCCUGCACUUCAGGAGAGAGAGUGGAUUUAAUCUGCUCUAUUAAUCUUGGGAUGGUCUCGU
RNAcentral lists this unclassified non-coding RNA (231 nucleotides) under Hevea brasiliensis (rubber tree). The record is from RNAcentral. Lineage: Eukaryota; Viridiplantae; Streptophyta; Magnoliopsida; Malpighiales; Euphorbiaceae.